Molecule: ribosomal RNA, 258 nt
Filed under: Triticum aestivum (bread wheat)
Lineage: Eukaryota; Viridiplantae; Streptophyta; Magnoliopsida; Poales; Poaceae
Description: partial small subunit ribosomal RNA
Source: RNAcentral
AUGGCUUCGAUCGUGCUGCUGCUGUCGGAGCUGCUCGGCGGCGCGGGGAGCACCAGCAUGCUGGAGGCCAACUGCUACAUGGGCGGCCACAGCCUGCGGGAAUUCCGGCCCGCGGCGGCCACGGGCGAGCGGGCGCCCACGGAGCCGAAGCUGCGGGGAACAACCUCAACGGCGGCGAAGGAUGAGGAGCCGUCGUCGUUGGACCUGGAGGAUCUCUCCGCCGUGUCCAGGAUAUCGGUGGACGUGAUGUGGCCCUGA